UUACGGCCAUAUCACGUUGAAUCACCGGUUAGCGUACGAUCACAGAUACUAAACAACGUCGAGCUUAGUUAGUACCUAGAUGUGUGAUCGCUUGGGCAUAGCAGGGGCUGUAAG
Acanthosepion pharaonis is the source of this 114-nucleotide non-coding RNA. Lineage: Eukaryota; Metazoa; Mollusca; Cephalopoda; Sepiida; Sepiidae. The record is from the annotation of a GenBank genome assembly.